RNAcentral lists this ribosomal RNA (1425 nucleotides) under Klebsiella variicola. RNAcentral describes it as "bacterial SSU rRNA". It matches the Rfam family "Bacterial small subunit ribosomal RNA". The record is from RNAcentral. Lineage: Bacteria; Pseudomonadati; Pseudomonadota; Gammaproteobacteria; Enterobacterales; Enterobacteriaceae.
ACACAUGCAAGUCGAGCGGUAGCACAGAGAGCUUGCUCUCGGGUGACGAGCGGCGGACGGGUGAGUAAUGUCUGGGAAACUGCCUGAUGGAGGGGGAUAACUACUGGAAACGGUAGCUAAUACCGCAUAACGUCGCAAGACCAAAGUGGGGGACCUUCGGGCCUCAUGCCAUCAGAUGUGCCCAGAUGGGAUUAGCUGGUAGGUGGGGUAACGGCUCACCUAGGCGACGAUCCCUAGCUGGUCUGAGAGGAUGACCAGCCACACUGGAACUGAGACACGGUCCAGACUCCUACGGGAGGCAGCAGUGGGGAAUAUUGCACAAUGGGCGCAAGCCUGAUGCAGCCAUGCCGCGUGUGUGAAGAAGGCCUUCGGGUUGUAAAGCACUUUCAGCGGGGAGGAAGGCGGUGAGGUUAAUAACCUCAUCGAUUGACGUUACCCGCAGAAGAAGCACCGGCUAACUCCGUGCCAGCAGCCGCGGUAAUACGGAGGGUGCAAGCGUUAAUCGGAAUUACUGGGCGUAAAGCGCACGCAGGCGGUCUGUCAAGUCGGAUGUGAAAUCCCCGGGCUCAACCUGGGAACUGCAUUCGAAACUGGCAGGCUAGAGUCUUGUAGAGGGGGGUAGAAUUCCAGGUGUAGCGGUGAAAUGCGUAGAGAUCUGGAGGAAUACCGGUGGCGAAGGCGGCCCCCUGGACAAAGACUGACGCUCAGGUGCGAAAGCGUGGGGAGCAAACAGGAUUAGAUACCCUGGUAGUCCACGCUGUAAACGAUGUCGAUUUGGAGGUUGUGCCCUUGAGGCGUGGCUUCCGGAGCUAACGCGUUAAAUCGACCGCCUGGGGAGUACGGCCGCAAGGUUAAAACUCAAAUGAAUUGACGGGGGCCCGCACAAGCGGUGGAGCAUGUGGUUUAAUUCGAUGCAACGCGAAGAACCUUACCUGGUCUUGACAUCCACAGAACUUUCCAGAGAUGGAUUGGUGCCUUCGGGAACUGUGAGACAGGUGCUGCAUGGCUGUCGUCAGCUCGUGUUGUGAAAUGUUGGGUUAAGUCCCGCAACGAGCGCAACCCUUAUCCUUUGUUGCCAGCGGUCCGGCCGGGAACUCAAAGGAGACUGCCAGUGAUAAACUGGAGGAAGGUGGGGAUGACGUCAAGUCAUCAUGGCCCUUACGACCAGGGCUACACACGUGCUACAAUGGCAUAUACAAAGAGAAGCGACCUCGCGAGAGCAAGCGGACCUCAUAAAGUAUGUCGUAGUCCGGAUUGGAGUCUGCAACUCGACUCCAUGAAGUCGGAAUCGCUAGUAAUCGUAGAUCAGAAUGCUACGGUGAAUACGUUCCCGGGCCUUGUACACACCGCCCGUCACACCAUGGGAGUGGGUUGCAAAAGAAGUAGGUAGCUUAACCUUCGGGAGGGCGCUUACCACUUGGAUUC